Molecule: long non-coding RNA, 1278 nt
Filed under: Homo sapiens (human)
Lineage: Eukaryota; Metazoa; Chordata; Mammalia; Primates; Hominidae
Description: non-protein coding lnc-BAZ1A-4:11
Source: RNAcentral
ACUGCGAGGCAGGCAGUGAUGCUGCGGCCGCUUCGCACUGUGGCUCCUGCCGACCGCCAGGCGCUGUUACAGUGGAUGCGAACUAACCAUGCAGCAGCAGCCGGAACCCACAGUUCACCUUGGUGCAUUCCUUUAUGAUGAAGACUUAUUGAUUCAUUAUAUGAGAAAGGAAAAAUGAGCAGAAACUACUGUAUGAUGUGCAGCUCACACCAGACAGCAACUUUAGGGUUAUCUUUCCAGUUCAGCAGUGCAACUCUAUGGAGUAGAAUUGAAAGGAGACUUUUCGCCAAUUGCAGGAAAUGGUCAUAAAAAAAUACCUGCUCACUGACAGAAUAAAGCACAUGUGCCUCACUCUUCAUGGUAAAUGUUUUACUGAAGAAUAACAUACAGAAAAGUGGACAAGUCUUAACUGCACAGCUCAAUGAAUUUCCAUGAAGUAAAUAUACCCAUAUGAUAAUCCAGCUCAAGAAACAGAAAAUCACUACCACCCCAGAAGACUGCCUUAUACUACCAUCUUUUAAGAGUGAAUCACACAUGGGGUACUCCUUGUAUCUGGCCUCUUUCUUUUUUUCUUUCUUUUUAAUUAUUAUUUUUGUUUGAGAUGGAGUCUCAUUCUGUCACCCAGGCUAGAGUGCAGUGUCAUGAUCUCGGCUCACUGUAACCUCUGCCUCCCGGGUUCAAGCAAUUCUCCUGCCUCAGCCUCCUGAGUAGCUGGGACUACAGGCACCCGCCACCACGCCCAGCUGAUUUUUGUAUUUUUGGUAGAGACAGGGUUUCGCCAUGUUGGCCAGGCUGGUCUCGAACUUCUGUCCUCAGGUGAUCCACCCACCUCGGCCUCCCAAAGUGCUGGGAUUACAGGCGUGAGCCACUGCACCCGGCCUGUUUCCAGCCUUUGUUCAACAUUAUGUUUGUGAAGUUAAUCUGUGUUGUUUUAUGUAAUUAUAGUUCACUCAUUCUUUCAUGGGCUUAAAUCUUUUUACAAUAAAAUUUUAAGAGAAUAAAAUUGUAAAAAAAAAAAGCUCAUGACAUGCAAUAAACUGUAUAAUUUGAUGCGUUUUGACAUGUAUACACCCAUAUCAGUACCACAGUCAAGAUCAUGAAUACAUCUAUUUCCUCAAAAUAGUCCAUGAAUUUUUUUUUUUGAGACAGAAUCUCGCUCUGUCGCCCAGGCUGUAGUGCAGCGCGCGAUCUCGGUUCACUGCAACCUCAGUCUCCCGGGUUCAAGCAAUUCUCCUGCCUCAGCCUCCCGAGUAGCUGGGACUACAGACGCGUGCAACC